This 955-nucleotide non-coding RNA is filed under the name Pudu puda. Its description in RNAcentral is "12S ribosomal RNA". It matches the Rfam family "Bacterial small subunit ribosomal RNA". The record is from RNAcentral. Lineage: Eukaryota; Metazoa; Chordata; Mammalia; Artiodactyla; Cervidae.
CACAGGUUUGGUCCCAGCCUUCCUAUUAACUCCUAGCAGACUUACACAUGCAAGUAUCCACACCCCAGUGAAAAUGCCCUCUAAGUCGACAAGACCAAGAGGAGCUGGUAUCAAGCACACACCCGUAGCUCAUGACACCUUGCUCAGCCACGCCCCCACGGGAGACAGCAGUGAUAAAAAUUAAGCCAUAAACGAAAGUUUGACUAAGCCAUGUUAGUUAGGGUUGGUAAAUCUCGUGCCAGCCACCGCGGUCAUACGAUUAACCCAAGUUAAUAGGCCCACGGCGUAAAGUGUGUUUAAGCACAACACCAAAUAAAGUUAAAUUCCAAUUAAGCUGUAAAAAGCCAUAAUUGAAAUGAAAAUAAAUGACGAAAGUGACUUUAUAAUAGCUGAAACAUGAUAGCUAAGAUCCAAACUGGGAUUAGAUACCCCACUAUGCUUAGCCCUAAACACAAAUAGUUAUAUAAACAAAACUAUUCGCCAGAGUACUACCGGCAAUAGCUUAAAACUCAAAGGACUUGGCGGUGCUUUAUACCCUUCUAGAGGAGCCUGUUCUAUAAUCGAUAAACCCCGAUAAACCUUACCACCCCUUGCUAAUACAGUCUAUAUACCGCCAUCUUCAGCAAACCCUAAAAAGGAGCAAAAGUAAGCACAAUUAUUUAUACGUAAAAACGUUAGGUCAAGGUGUAACCUAUGGAGUGGAAAGAAAUGGGCUACAUUUUCUAAUUUAAGAAAACUCUUUACGAAAGUUAUUAUGAAACUAAUAUCUAAAGGAGGAUUUAGCAGUAAACUAAGAAUAGAGUGCUUAGUUGAAUUAGGCCAUGAAGCACGCACACACCGCCCGUCACCCUCCUCAAAUAAGUACAAUAUAUUUAAAUAUAUUUGCAUAUAUUAACUAUAUGAGAGGAGAUAAGUCGUAACAAGGUAAGCAUACUGGAAAGUGUGCUUGGACAAU